Molecule: ribosomal RNA, 468 nt
Filed under: uncultured bacterium
Lineage: Bacteria
Description: partial 16S ribosomal RNA
Rfam family: Bacterial small subunit ribosomal RNA
Source: RNAcentral
GACGAACGCUGGCGGCGUGCUUAACACAUGCGAGUCGAACGGAAAGGCCCUGCUUUUGUGGGGUGCUCGAGUGGCGAACGGGUGAGUAACACGUGAGUAACCUGCCCUUGACUUUGGGAUAACUUCAGGAAACUGGGGCUAAUACCGGAUAGGAGCUCCUGCUGCAUGGUGGGGGUUGGAAAGUUUCGGCGGUCGGGGAUGGACUCGCGGCUUAUCAGCUUGUUGGUGGGGUAGUGGCUUACCAAGGCUUUGACGGGUAGCCGGCCUGAGAGGGUGACCGGCCACAUUGGGACUGAGAUACGGCCCAGACUCCUACGGGAGGCAGCAGUGGGGAAUAUAGCACAAUGGGCGGAAGCCUGAUGCAGCAACGCCGCGUGCGGGAUGACGGCCUUCGGGUUGUAAACCGCUUUCGCCUGUGACGAAGCGUGAGUGACGGUAAUGGGUAAAGAAGCACCGGCUAACUACGUG